GACGAACGCUGGCGGCGUGCUUAACACAUGCAAGUCGAACGGAAAGGCCCUGCUUUUGUGGGGUGCCCGAGUGGCGAGCGGGUGAGUAACACGUGAGUAACCUGCCCUUGACUUUGGGAUAACUUCAGGAAACUGGGGCUAAUACCGGAUAGGAGCUCCUGCUGCAUGGUGGGGGUUGGAAAGUUUCGGCGGUUGGGGAUGGACUCGCGGCUUAUCAGCUUGUUGGUGGGGUAGUUGCUUACCAAGGCUUUGACGGGUAGCCGGCAUGAGAGGGUGACCGGCCACAUGGGGACUGCGAGACGCACCAGAAGCCUACGGGAGGCAGCAGGGGGGAAUAUUGCACAAUGGGGGGAAGCCUGAGGCAGCAACGCCGCGUGCGGGAUGACGGCCUACGGGUUGUAAACCGCUUUGGAAUGUGACGAAGAGUGAGUGACGGUAAUGGGUAAAGAAGCACCGGCUAACUACGUG
RNAcentral lists this ribosomal RNA (468 nucleotides) under uncultured bacterium. RNAcentral's name for it is "partial 16S ribosomal RNA". It matches the Rfam family "Bacterial small subunit ribosomal RNA", at positions 28 to 507 of the family's 1533-position model. The record is from RNAcentral.